AAACGGGGGCCGGGCGGGCGCCAGUUUCAUUCAAAAUAUGAUUCAGGGGAACCGCCAUCUUCCAGUAAUUCACCAAAAUGAUGAACACAAAGUGAAAGAGGAGAGGCACCCGAUAUAUGUUCUCCAGGAGUUUUAGAAAACAUGGAGUUGUUCCUUUGGCCGUGCACAGGCGAAUCUAGAAGAAAGGUGAUAUUAUAGACAUCAAGGGAAUGAGUACUGUUCAAAAAGGAAUGCCCCACAGGUGUCACCAUGGCUAAACUGGAAGAGUCUACAAUGUUCCCCAGCAUGCUGUUGGCAUUUGUUGUAAACAAACAAGUUAAGGGCAAGAUUCUUGCCAAGAGAAUUAAUGUGUGUAUUGGGCAUGUUAAGCACGUGAAGAGCCAAGAUAGCUUCCUGAAACAAGUGAAGGAAAAUUAUCAGAAAACUAAAGAAGACAAAGAGAAAAGUACCUGGGGUUCAACUGAAGUGCCAGCCUGCACUGCCCAGAAAAGCACACUUCGUGAGAACCAGUAGGAAGAAGCCUGAGGUGCU
Molecule: long non-coding RNA, 531 nt
Organism: Homo sapiens (human)
Lineage: Eukaryota; Metazoa; Chordata; Mammalia; Primates; Hominidae
Source: Ensembl